UACGGAGGAUCCGAGCGUUAUCCGGAUUUAUUGGGUUUAAAGGGUGCUCAGGCGGGCCAUUAAGUCGGCGGUGAAAUUUUGCGGCUCAACCGUAAAAGUGCCUUCGAUACUGGUGGUCUUGAGUGUGGAUGAGGUAGGCGGAAUUUGUGGUGUAGCGGUGAAAUGCAUAGAUAUCACGAGGAACUCAGAUUGCUAAGGCAGCUUACUAAGCCAUAACUGACGCUCAAGCACGAAGGCGUGGGGAUCAAACAGGAUUAGAUACCCU
RNAcentral lists this ribosomal RNA (265 nucleotides) under uncultured prokaryote. Its description in RNAcentral is "partial 16S ribosomal RNA". It matches the Rfam family "Bacterial small subunit ribosomal RNA", at positions 524 to 788 of the family's 1533-position model. The record is from RNAcentral.